GAUUUCUUUUAAAAACUAAUCAUUGGAAUGAUACAGAGAUUAGCAUGGCCCCUGUACAAGGAUGACACCCAAAUUCAUGAAGCAUUCCAUAUUUUU
Heterocephalus glaber (naked mole-rat) is the source of this 96-nucleotide small nuclear RNA. The record is from Ensembl. Lineage: Eukaryota; Metazoa; Chordata; Mammalia; Rodentia; Bathyergidae.